GUGUCAGCCGCCGCGGUAAUACGAAGGGUGCAAGCGUUAAUCGGAAUUACUGGGCGUAAAGGGUGCGUAGGCGGCUGGCUAAGCCGGAUGUGAAAGCCCUGGGCUCAACCUGGGAAUGGCAUCCGGGACUGGUCGGCUGGAGUGCGGUAGAGGGUGGUGGAAUUCCCGGUGUAGCGGUGAAAUGCGUAGAGAUCGGGAGGAACAUCGAUGGCGAAGGCAGCCACCUGGACCAGCACUGACGCUGAGGCACGAAAGCGUGGGGAGCAAACAGGAUUAGAAACCCCUGUAGUCC
Molecule: ribosomal RNA, 292 nt
Filed under: uncultured bacterium
Lineage: Bacteria
Description: partial 16S ribosomal RNA
Rfam family: Bacterial small subunit ribosomal RNA
Source: RNAcentral